This 463-nucleotide ribosomal RNA is filed under the name uncultured bacterium. RNAcentral describes it as "partial 16S ribosomal RNA". It matches the Rfam family "Bacterial small subunit ribosomal RNA", at positions 28 to 507 of the family's 1533-position model. The record is from RNAcentral.
GAUGAACGCUGACAGAAUGCUUAAUACAUGCAAGUCGAUGGGGCAGUGGUGCUUGCACCAUGGCUACCAUGGCGGACGGGUGAGUAACGCGUAAGGGACUUACCUGCAGGUCUGGGAUAACAGGGGGAAACUCCUGACAAGACCGGAUAAUGUCAUGGAGCUGCCUGGCUGUAUGAUGAAAGGAGACGCCUGCGGAGAGCCUUGCGUCCUAUUAGCUAGCUGGUAAGGUAAUGGCUCACCAAGGCGAAGAUAGGUAGCCGGCCUGAGAGGAUGGACGGCCACAAGGGGACUGGGAGACGGCCGUUAGGACUACUGGGGGAAGCGGUGAGGAAUAAUGGACCAUGGCCGCAACAGUGAUGAAGGAAUUCGGUGUGCACGAAGAAGGUUUUCGGAUAGUAAAGUGGUUUCAGCAAGGAUGAAGUAAGUGACGGUACCUACAGAGGAAGCGACGGCUAAAUACGUG